CUUCAGCGAGCCGAUCCACAGCGGAUGCUCGGCGUCGCGUUCCUUGCCGUAGGUGGCGAGCAGCGCCUGCGCCUC
This 75-nucleotide antisense RNA is filed under the name Streptomyces pseudogriseolus. RNAcentral describes it as "ASpks TB sRNA". It matches the Rfam family "ASpks TB sRNA". RNAcentral also lists the same sequence under 1 other name. Lineage: Bacteria; Bacillati; Actinomycetota; Actinomycetes; Kitasatosporales; Streptomycetaceae. The record is from RNAcentral.